RNAcentral lists this ribosomal RNA (497 nucleotides) under uncultured bacterium. RNAcentral describes it as "partial 16S ribosomal RNA". It matches the Rfam family "Bacterial small subunit ribosomal RNA", at positions 28 to 507 of the family's 1533-position model. The record is from RNAcentral.
GAUGAACGCUGGCGGCGUGCCUAAUACAUGCAAGUCGAGCGAACAGAUGAGGCGCUUGCUCCUCUGACGUUAGCGGCGGACGGGUGAGUAACACGUGUAUAACCUACCUAUCAGACUGGGAUAACUUCGGGAAACCGGAGCUAAUACCAGAUAAUAUAUUGCACCGCAUGGUUCAAUUGUGAAAGUCGGUUUUGCUGGCACUUAUAGAUGGAUCCGCGCCGCAUUAGCUAGUUGGUAAGGUAACGGGCUACCACGGCAACGAUGCGUAGCCGACCUGAUAGGGUGAUCGGCCACACUGGAACUGAGACACGGUCCAGACUCCUACGGGAGGCAGCAGUAGGGAAUCUUCCGCAAAGGGCGAAAGCCUGACGGAGCAACGCCGCGUGAGUGAUGAAGGUCUUCGGAUCGUAAAACUCUGUUAUUAGGGAAGAACAAAUGUGUAAGUAACUAUGCACGUCUUGACGGUACCUAAUAAGAAAGCCACGGCUAACUACGUG